Molecule: unclassified non-coding RNA, 200 nt
Filed under: Hevea brasiliensis (rubber tree)
Lineage: Eukaryota; Viridiplantae; Streptophyta; Magnoliopsida; Malpighiales; Euphorbiaceae
Source: RNAcentral
CCCAUGCUUCCCAGAAGUUAUAUAGCUCUGACCUUCAUCAUCCGUUGAACCCCAAGAUAUUAGCUUUCCAGAUCCUAAUUCCAUAUUCUUGAGUACAUAAGCAAUUAUACCAUAGCAUAUUAAUUAACAACAAUUCUAAUAACUAUUUUCCACAUUUAAUUAAGCAUAAUCUAGAAUAAUUGUUUUGCCGAAGAAAUUGA